This 253-nucleotide ribosomal RNA is filed under the name uncultured bacterium. Its description in RNAcentral is "partial 16S ribosomal RNA". It matches the Rfam family "Bacterial small subunit ribosomal RNA", at positions 524 to 776 of the family's 1533-position model. The record is from RNAcentral.
UACGUAGGGGGCAAGCGUUGUCCGGAAUUAUUGGGCGUAAAGAGCGUGUAGGCGGUCCGGUAAGUCAGCUGUGAAAGUCAAGGGCUCAACCCUUGAAUGCCGGUUGAUACUGUCGGGCUAGAGUCCGGAAGAGGCGAGUGGAAUUCCCGGUGUAGCGGUGAAAUGCGCAGAUAUCGAGAGGAACACCAAUGGCGAAGGCAGCUCGCUGGGACGGUACUGACGCUGAGACGCGAAAGCGUGGGGAGCAAACAGG